Molecule: ribosomal RNA, 497 nt
Filed under: uncultured bacterium
Lineage: Bacteria
Description: partial 16S ribosomal RNA
Rfam family: Bacterial small subunit ribosomal RNA
Source: RNAcentral
GAUGAACGCUGGCGGCGUGCCUAAUACAUGCAAGUCGAACGCUGAAGCUUGGUGCUUGCACCGAGCGGAUGAGUUGCGCACGGGUGAGUAACGCGUAGGUAACCUGCCUCUUAGCGGGGGAUAACUAUUGGAAACGAUAGCUAAUACCGCAUAAACGUCGAUAUCGCAUGAUAUUGAUUUGAAAGGUGCAAAUGCAUCACUAAGAGAUGGACCUGCGUUGUAUUAGCUAGUUGGUGAGGUAACGGCUCACCAAGGCGACGAUACAUAGCCGACCUGAGAGGGUGAUCGGCCACACUGGGACUGAGACACGGCCCAGACGCCUACGGGAGGCAGCAGUAGGGAAUCUUCGGCAAGGGGGGCAACCCUGACCGAGCAACGCCGCGUGAGUGAAGAAGGUUUUCGGAUCGGAAAGCUCUGUUGUAAGAGAAGAACGAGUGUGAGAGUGGAAAGUUCACACUGUGACGGUAACUUACCAGAAAGGGACGGCUAACUACGUG